RNAcentral lists this ribosomal RNA (520 nucleotides) under uncultured Glomus. RNAcentral describes it as "SSU rRNA". It matches the Rfam family "Eukaryotic small subunit ribosomal RNA", at positions 569 to 1090 of the family's 1831-position model. The record is from RNAcentral. Lineage: Eukaryota; Fungi; Glomeromycota; Glomeromycetes; Glomerales; Glomeraceae.
AGCAGCCGCGGUAAUUCCAGCUCCAAUAGCGUAUAUUAAAGUUGUUGCAGUUAAAAAGCUCGUAGUUGAAUUUCGGGAUCAAUAUAUCGGUCAUGCCUUGGUAUGUACUGGUUUUAUUGGUUCUCACCUUCUAAAGAACCAUGAUGUCAUUCAUUUGAUGUUAUGGGGAAUUAGGACUGUUACCUUGAAAAAAUUUAGAGUGUUUAAAGCAAGCUUACGCUUGAAUACAUUAGCAUGGAAUAAUGAAAUAGGACAUCAGAUUCUAUUUUGUUGGUUUCUAGGAUCGAUGUAAUGAUUAAUAGGGAUAGUUGGGGGCAUUAGUAUUCAAUUGUCAGAGGUGAAAUUCUUGGAUUUAUUGAAGACUAACUACUGCGAAAGCAUUUGCCAAGGAUGUUUUCAUUAAUCAAGAACGAAAGUUAGGGGAUCGAAGACGAUCAGAUACCGUCGUAGUCUUAACCAUAAACUAUGCCGACUAGGGAUCGGAUGAUGUUAAUUUUUUAAUGACUCAUUCGGCGCCUUA